This is a long non-coding RNA of Xiphophorus maculatus (southern platyfish), 487 nucleotides long. RefSeq lists it as uncharacterized. The record is from RefSeq and is a predicted model, not a curated record. The transcript has 4 exons. NCBI's taxonomy places the organism in Eukaryota, Metazoa, Chordata, Actinopteri, Cyprinodontiformes, Poeciliidae.
CAGGGCUUUUCUUCAUCUUUGUGUUUUCCUCUCAACUCCCCCAUGUUUCACGGUGUAAUAGUGAUGCUUCCCUACACGCUGCUCUCCAAUAUAGUGAAUUAUUCUGUCCUGUUUCUCUACUAAUCCAGUCUCCCAGUUUUUAAUCUUUCAGGUUUUAGCUGCUCAUCGCUGGAUCCUUUCAUCGUUGUCCAUGUGGUUCCUGCCUUCUGGAUCCCUUGUUUUUCACACUGCUUGUUGGAUCUCGUCAGCCUGUAAAUCUCCACCUUCAACACCACCAGUCAGAUGGAGGAAGAUAAGAGAACCCAGUUGAAAAAAAAUCAGAGCUUUGAUGAGUUUGAGCUGAUGGAAGGAGGAUCAGGAAUAGAGUAGAGGACCUGCUGAUCUACUGGUUCUAGUAGAUUUUAUAAAUGCAUCACUGAGACAAGACAACAGCGCUGGACCAAUCAGGAGAGAGAAGACACAGAGGACUGAAGGGACACAGAAAAAU